This 440-nucleotide ribosomal RNA is filed under the name uncultured bacterium. RNAcentral describes it as "partial 16S ribosomal RNA". It matches the Rfam family "Bacterial small subunit ribosomal RNA", at positions 338 to 795 of the family's 1533-position model. The record is from RNAcentral.
CCUACGGGAGGCAGCAGUGGGGAAUAUUGCACAAUGGGGGAAACCCUGAUGCAGCGACGCCGCGUGAGUGAAGAAGUAAUUCGUUAUGUAACGCUCUAUCAGCAGGGAAGAAAAUGACGGUACCUGAGUAAGCAGCCCCGGCUAACUACGUGCCAGACGCCGCGGUAAUACGUAGGGGGCAAGCGUUAUCCGGAUUUACUGGGUGUAAAGGGAGCGUAGACGGCAGUGCAAGUCUGGAGUGAAAGGCGGGGGCUCAACCCGCGGACUGCUCUGGAAACUGUACGGCUUGAGUGCAGGAGAGGUAAGUGGAAUUCCUGGUGUAGCGGUGAAAUGCGUAGAUAUUAGGAGGAACACCAGUGGCGAAGGCGGCUUACUGGACUGUAACUGACGUUGAGGCUCGAAAGCGUGGGGAGCAAACAGGAUUAGAUACCCUUGUAGUC